RNAcentral lists this ribosomal RNA (422 nucleotides) under uncultured bacterium. Its description in RNAcentral is "bacterial SSU rRNA". It matches the Rfam family "Bacterial small subunit ribosomal RNA", at positions 28 to 441 of the family's 1533-position model. The record is from RNAcentral.
GAUGAACGCUAGUUACAGGCCUAACACAUGCAAGUCGAGGGGCAUCGGGAGGGAAGCUUGCUUCCCUUGCCGGCGACCGGCGCACGGGUGAGUAACGCGUAUCGAACCUGCCCCAUACCCGGGGAUAGCCUUGCGAAAGUAAGAUUAAUACCCGAUGGUUUCCCUUUAUCUCCUGAUAGAGGGAAUAAAGAUUUCGGUAUGGGAUGGCGAUGCGUCCGAUUAGCUGGUUGGCGGGGUAACGCCCACCAAGGCGACGAUCGGUAGGGGUUCUGAGAGGAAGGUCCCCCCACAUUGGAACUGAGACACGGGUCCAAACUCCUACGGGAGGCAGCAGUGAGGAAUAUUGGUCAAUGGGCGGAAGCCUGAACCAGCCAAGUAGCGUGCAGGAUGACGGCCCUACGGGUUGUAAACUGCUUUUAGAC